Molecule: long non-coding RNA, 1271 nt
Organism: Canis lupus familiaris (dog)
Lineage: Eukaryota; Metazoa; Chordata; Mammalia; Carnivora; Canidae
Exons: 5
Source: RefSeq, a predicted model, not a curated record
GCAGGCGCCAAACCGCUGCGCCACCCAGGGAUCCCCAAAGAAAUUUAUGGUUCUUCUUGGAUUGUGUGUAUGCUUCUUCUCACCUUACUAAGGGCAAAUGCAAGAAGUUGAGUCUACAGCUGGACAAGAGCAGUAACCCUUAUUAUUGGGAUGGUUGCUACCAGAUGGAUGGUACAAGUUUGAUUUCUGCCUACGUGGAUCUACUAACUAGGCUCUUCUCAUCUGGGACUUGGGUGAGAUGUGACUAAGUAAAGAUCCUGAGAUGGAGACGUUUUCCUGGAUUAUUCAGGCGGACUCCAAAUGCAGUUACAAGUGUCCUUAUAAGAGAGAGGUAGCAGAAAAUCACAGACAGAAGAGGCGAAGACAACACGACCAUGGAAGUGAAGAUUGGCGUGAAGUGGUCACAAGCCAAGGAAUGCUGACAACCACCAGAAGCUGGAAGAGGAAAAUAAUGGGUUCUCUCUAGAGCCUAAGGGGGACUACAUGUCUGCCAACAUCUUGAUUUCAACCCAGUGAUACUGAUUUUGGACAUCUGGCUGCUAGAACUCUGACAGAAUAGAUUUCUGUUGUGCUGGUUGGUUGGCCAGAGUUUCUCAUCAAGGAGUACAUGCUGUUUGCUCCCCAGAUGGACAGCCUGGAUGAGCUACAAAUCCACAGAGCCUGGGACACAAGGUGGAAAUUAUACUGCCAGUGCUUUUCAUCUUGCACAGCUCUGCACACUUGAAAUUGCAAGUGGCCCAUUUCCAAAUGAACAUCUAUUGGGACAAUAUCCUAUAUCUUGUCAGAAUGAGUCCCAUUAAAUCCUCAGCUGGAAUUAGACCAAAAAGUUGCAAUAAUUAUGGGAAACUUAUUAAAAAGUUGAAGCCCUAGACUGUGACAGUGGAAACACUUAAGCCACAUUAACAGUAAUUGAAAUCUCUGUAUUUCUUUUCAAUCAGUUCUUGUUGAUGGCCAACCAAAGAAUGCCCAAAUGAGAAGGUGUGAAACCCAAACACCCAGCUUCUAAGGGGGGGUAAUGUCUUUUGUUUCACUAUAAAAUGUAGUGUUGGAAAGGGAGUAAACUGCUCUCUUGGGAGCCAAGGCACCUGCCAGACAGCUGCCCCUUGUUCCCACCAUGAGCUUGGGUCUCACCACUAUGUCUACAAUCAGGAUGCAGGUUCACUGGCCUCUGCCUAAUGUCCUGGGUCUCCUUCCCUCUCUCUCCUGCCACUCUACCCCUAGUAAGUUCUGGGUGUUAUGAAAAAUAUUAAAUAAAUAGUUUUGAAACCUGG